UAAUAACGCCCCUGUCAAAUAGUGUACUUUUUUAAGUGUCACCGGUGACAGAGCGCUGACAGCACAUAUUCGACCAAUCCCCGAGUUCAAAAGACCAAAACUUGACACUUAUUUUGAUUAGAUGUCAUUGUGACUUAUUUUGUUUAGUUCUACUCAGCUUUUGCAAGCCUUUAAACAGAUAGAAACAUAUUGAAAAAUGUUGUCUUAAACGAAAGUGGAAAACGUACUUUGUAAAGCGCUAAAGGUCCCUCCCUCAUUAUGAUAUGUUUAAUGCCACCAAACAUCCCAUGAUUCUUGUGAUGAAGAUUGUGUGCUUGCAAUAGAAUUUUCACUCUAUCUAAAGGGGCUACAGUCGUUUUAGAAACCAUUCCAGCAACUCCUGUAAAUGCAUAAAUAGUACAAAAGUAGUAAGUUACUGAUGGUAUUGGUAAGCAUCUUGAAUGGCAUUAAGUGUAUCCUACAUUGUCCGGUUAUUACCAUAGCGUUUGCUAUAAGUAUCAGUUACAAAUCAUAACUGGCAGUUGUCUUAAGCCACCAUAGGAAAUCCUCAGAAUACAUCAGAUGCAUUUAUACUUUAAAAUAACAUUGAUUACUUUUUUGGCAGCCAACCAAAUUAUUUCAUUUAAAAUCGACACGUAAUAAGUAUUUAGUUACAGUCGAAUAUAUAAACUAUACAGGAUGGUCUGCACUGAAUUCUCUAUUGUGCGAAAUUUAGGUUUAGUUAAGUAGAAAUUUUGAAUCUAAACGUAGUUUUUUUAUCAAAACUUAUUAAUGGAAAGCGAUGUCCGAAUUUUUAAUCACGCCUUUGCUUGACUGGUUGCUUCCAUGGUAAAAAGAUACCUGUUUAUUAUCCAUAAACCAGCCGGUUUUCGAAAAAUUGUGAACCGAAAUCAUUUAAACUUUUUAUAUUGGUCUAGCUAACAGAGACAAGCUAGAAUAAAUGCACACUGUGCAACAUAGCAUGGAAAAGAACACCGUGUCAGUAAUUUACACAAUAUUUGUAAAGAUAUGUAAGAAUAUUUUAAAUUUUGAGAUAAAAUCAGAUUAUUCACAAACAACUCUCGGAAUGCGGAUAUGGAAUAUUCAAAUUAACUCAUACGUUGCGUUUUGAUAGUUUUUAAGUUGACCUUAAAAUAUUUCAAUCGCAGACAAUGCAUGUAUACACUAUAACUUUGAUCGCAAGUCAUCAGUGGCGAAAUUUGACUACCAACAUAAAAACAAUUAUGCAUGAAAAUUGUGUGAUAAGGCGAAUCUUUUUUAUUGUGUUUUGGGCAUUGGAGAACCUCAAGCAAUCAUAAAAUGCAAAAGAACUUUAGAAUACGACCUAAUUUAAAGCGACGUUGAUUAUGUUCAUCUUUAUUUUAUUUAAUUAUUAGGUUGGUGAAAAUUACAAUGCUGCCGAAUGGAUCGAAGAUUUAUCGGAAUUGUUUUUAAUAAAAAAUCCUGUUGCAUUUGUUAUGUACUUGUCCAUGACUUUUGCGUUAGCGGUAUAUUGGUGCUUUUGCAAUAAACCAUUAUUCCAUAAAGAAUAAUCAGCAGAAGCGAGAUAGCAUUGAGAAAAAUUAAUACUGCUUCGAGAUUUAUGUUUAUCUAUAUAAUUUGUGGCGGGUAUGGCAACAACGCUCGACAGACGAUUGAUGACGUGCAAGCAUAGUUAUAGUGAACGAAGUAUACAGGGUGUCCCGUAAGCACAUGAUCAAAAGAAUACUGCGAUAUUCUUUGCAUCAAAAGACUGACCUAACUUUUAUUAACAAAAAAUGUCUGGCUCCUCUGCUAUGGAUGGUCAAAGUUCUUCAAAAAUUGGUCUUUAUUGAAAUAUCGGGAGAAUGGUACGAUGUAUUUUGGUGAAACACGCUGAGAAUUUGUUCUUAGGAACGCGGCUCAAUUGAAGUAACACAUAUUAAAGUACAUAAGUACAAAGAGUACAUAGCAUCGCAUCAUAAGAUAACCGCUCCUUGAGAAAGGAAACAUUGAGUAGGACUCAAUUCAAUUUCAAUUAGUUAUUUAUCCUACUAUCAUCUACUUAAUUUCAAUGGAGAAUUGUUUGUUGAGUACGUGCUAAAUUUUUUUACGUGUUAACAUAUAUUAUAAUAAUGCUUUCUGGGAUGCCAUAUGCAAAAUUGGAAAAUGGCAAGACACAGAAAAAACACAUUUUGCACAUUGCACAACUGUGAAUACUACAGGAUUUCGCAAAGAACAGGAAAAUCUAGAAAAAUUAAUUAAUGCAUCAACUAAAUCAACUGAAUUGAUUCCAGCUGCCAAAAGAGGAGUUCUGCUAGUUUUCGAACCAUACAGUCAAUAAUGUAUUCCUUGCCCAAUACGUAUGGCAGCGGAAGCUUAAGUUUCCGAAAUGAGUGUUACCCAGGAAAACAUUAAAUUUGCAAGUUUCACUAAAAACCAUUGCAAAUUUCUCUCAAUACUACAAAGAAGCUAACUGUUUUCAUCAAGUUUGACCAUCAAAUACGAGAAGCCCGAUAUUUUCCUUAAUAAAAGUUAGGCCAGCUCAUCUUCUUUUGAGCCAACGAGUGUCGCAGUACCAUUUUGAUGAUGGCUUAUGGGAUAGCCUGAAUACUACUACUUUUAUUUUAUAGCUGAUUUUAUAAAUAAAUGUGUAUUAUUAUUUA
Long non-coding RNA from Dendroctonus ponderosae (mountain pine beetle), 2624 nucleotides. RefSeq lists it as uncharacterized. The transcript has 3 exons. The record is from RefSeq and is a predicted model, not a curated record. Lineage: Eukaryota; Metazoa; Arthropoda; Insecta; Coleoptera; Curculionidae.